AAAGCCCCCCACUCUACUUGGUUUCAGGUCACAGCUCUCCCGUGUAUUGUCCUCUUUCAUCAAAUGGCAUUUUCCCCGUAUGCUGGUGUAUAUUUCAAAACCUGUGGCAGUCGGCUACGGACAAUUGAGAGUGGAGGCUCUUGAGAAGGUGCAUGGGGGUGUUUUCUCUAGUGCAAAGGACUGAUUGUACCAGGAGUCAUGGUGAGGGAGAAAAGCCGAGGCAAACCAGUGAAAUGCAAAUUCUGGUCCUGAACGUGAAGUAUCUCGUCUCUCCACUGGCAUUUGAGCUCAGCUAGGUCGAGGGCAGGAACCUACUGCCACCAUGGUCUGGCCCACAUGCUGCCAGUCCUGGCCCCCGUAGCCAUUGUGUUUCAGCUGCGUAGAUGAGGAAGGUGUGAGGAGAGCCCCACAGGACCUGAGUAUUUUACUGUAUUGUACUUUUUAUUUGUUUUUUAUUGCAUUGUAUGGUAUUGUGUUUUCGGUUUUUCACCCAGAUCUGAGUGUUCCUUACUGGUGGCUGUUCUUCUUUUCCCCAGUGACUUUUUCCUGGGUCUCAUGUGCAGGAGACCUACCGGUAUCUACUGGCUGAGUGUGCAGGUUGUCUCCCAUCUCAGAAAUGUUGCCAGGACUGCGUCCAAGGCCGCCCCUCCUCAGCUAGUGCCUUCACACCCAGGAAUGCACCUAACUCUCCCCUGGCACAACUGGCAGGACCGAGAAGAGCAACUGCUACAUCUGGAUGUUAUGAAGUUCUCCAGGGCUUGAUAUAUUAUUUUCCCCCCAUACUAACAUGUGCUCAACAGGACGCAGUCCCAAUUAUUUUUGACAGUGGUGCUGUCUUCCCUUCCGUUUCCAUGAUGGGGAAAGUUAAACUAAGAGCCAACUUCUUAUAAGCCAGGUUUGGCCAUAAAGCAGGGGAAGAUCAUGGGACAUAGGUCCUAGGCAGACAGCACUUGCCCAAGAUUUAUCACAGAGCAUUAUUUCCCAUGCUGGCUUUGAGAAUGGCAGAUUGGUUUCCUUAGUAUCCCGCACGCUGGGAGAGCAGAACCCUUUGUGUACAUCGAUUCCCAGGAGGCAAACUCUGGGAUUUCCCUUCCCAACCUGAGGAAAACCCACAAAGUUGCUUUACAGUGUGUCUCUUCACUGUGUGACUCGAACUGUUGUCAUUAUGCCCACCCACAUCUCCCUCUCUGCCUCUUCUGCCUUUCAGUACGGUCCAUAAAUAAGCACUGAGAAGUAUACAGCCAAAUACGGAGGCAGAUGAGGGCUGGUGGUAGGGAAAAGAACAGUUUAUGAAUGAACGGCACCAUGAGUUAAAAAAAUCCAGCAUGUCCUAUUCAUACAUCAUACUCAUGUACUACAAUUUCACUUGCUGCUUCACUAUGCUUUGUUGGGGGGUUGAUGGUCUCUCUCUCAUGCAGGGUUGGGUUGCCUCCUUGGCAGCCCAAGCAGUAACUCAGGCCUAUACUCCCCAUUUACGUUGCAUGAUUCCCCCCGAGUGCUUUACAGGCUCUACAGCCACACAUGAAAUGCCGCCACCUCUGGACAGAGAGUACAAACCAAAACCAGCAAAUAGCACAACAUCAGGGUGGGCAGCAAUUCUGGCUUAUUUUUAGGGCAAAGAUGUCACAGGGUUUGUAUAUACCAGCAGUAUGCAGAGAAAUCUGGUAUCUCAAAUCAAAACAAACAUGCACACGCUAUAAUAGAAAGUGCUGAUUUAACCACCCCAAGAGAGACUUUUAUAUGGGUUUGAUUUUUGAGUUAGGGUGGACAAGCUGAUGCUAGAGCUUUCCUUUUCCUGAGAAUCAAAAGAGGACUUCAGGCUCUCCAGUGCCCAUGUGGCACCUUUCUUGGGUUGCAUGGUCGUCCUAAGCAGCGAUCGCAGUAGUUAAAUGUCUUGUGAUACUUGUACAGUCUUGGAUCCCACGGAUGUUCCUCCAAGCUUGGUCCAGCCCUGAGUACUUCAGGGCUAGCGUCGGGCUGUCCUGAGCACACCGCUUCAGCACGGGGCAGGCCCUCCCCUCCCGGGUGAGCAACGCGAAGCGUCUCAUCACGCAGGCAGGCUAUCGGCGGCAGGAACCAGCUCACAGCCAAAAUGAAUCAUCGGGCUGAUCCGACACGUGGCAUGUCCAGGCUCCCUGUGCUGAAGUGGCACUAAUUAUUCCCUCAGUGUUAUGAAACAAGGACAAGAAAAGCAAAUGCAGCGGUAAACAGCAAGAGAGAAAGGGAGGUUAAUUGGAAGCAAGAAAGGUGGAAAAUACCAGUGCCAAGGCUGGGAUGAGAAAACCCGGCGAUCACCAUGGAUGCCGUUAGUGAGGAAGCCGGGAAGGAGCUCGCAUGCCCCUUCGGGUCCCCACUGAAGAAAGCACUGAAGGGUGUGUUCAGAAUGGUGCAGGUACCUACACACGUCCUUUGCUGGAGAAGGUGUCCCUGAACAUCGCACCGCUGCUGUCUGCGCUCACGUGCCUGGCGCCAUCCCCCUCUGACAGCGGGACGCCUGUGCACGCACCUGUUCUCUUCGUAUGUAAAAAAAAGCCUUUUGCAGGAAUCCAAAAGGGGCCACAGGGCUGGGCUCUCCCCCCUCUUCCUGCAGGCUUUUUCUUUUUUUUUCUUUUUCUUUCUUUCUUUUUCAUAUUGUACGGUAACUACAAUUAAACCUUUCUUGGCACGGCA
Dromaius novaehollandiae (emu) is the source of this 2670-nucleotide long non-coding RNA. RefSeq lists it as uncharacterized. NCBI's taxonomy places the organism in Eukaryota, Metazoa, Chordata, Aves, Casuariiformes, Dromaiidae. The record is from RefSeq and is a predicted model, not a curated record. The transcript is spliced from 2 exons.